RNAcentral lists this ribosomal RNA (470 nucleotides) under uncultured bacterium. RNAcentral's name for it is "bacterial SSU rRNA". It matches the Rfam family "Bacterial small subunit ribosomal RNA", at positions 8 to 507 of the family's 1533-position model. The record is from RNAcentral.
AGAGUUUGAUCAUGGCUCAGGAUGAACGCUGGCGCGUGCCUAACACAUGCAAGUCGAGCGAUUCUCUUCGGAGAAGAGCGGCGACGGGUGAGUAACGCGUGGGUAACCUGCCCUGUACACACGGAUAACAUACCGAAAGGUAUGCUAAUACGAGAUAAUAUACUUUUAUCGCAUGGUAGAAGUAUCAAAGCUCCGGCGGUACAGGAUGGACCCGCGUCUGAUUAGCUAGUUGGUAAGGUAACGGCUUACCAAGGCGACGAUCAGUAGCCGACCUGAGAGGGUGAUCGGCCACAUUGGAACUGAGACACGGUCCAAACUCCUACGGGAGGCAGCAGUGGGGAAUAUUGCACAAUGGGCGAAAGCCUGAUGCAGCAACGCCGCGUGAGCGAUGAAGGCCUUCGGGUCGUAAAGCUCUGUCCUCAAGGAAGAUAAUGACGGUACUUGAGGAGGAAGCCCCGGCUAACUACGUG